UUCGUCAAAGAAUCGAGUCAAAAGUGGUCUUCCCGGAUGAAUCAGCCAACGAUCCACCUAUCACCGUGACCGGGAGAGACAGAACGUUCCAACGAGCCCAGUUUCGUCCCGAAAGGAGCUGCCAAUCGUCCUGUACGGCCGUCUCAAGACGCCGGUCGCCGGACCGCCUGGUUCCGCCCUGCUUCGCCUGUUUCGACUUUGCAGCCCGUUUUCUUCCAUUCCAGCUGUUCCUUUGCUCAUCCCAACCUCCAACAAGACUCCCAAGACCCUCGGAUGUCACCGGUUUCCAGCCACCCUCCUCGCCGGAGCUCCGGCCAAGCCGUUCAACUUGUUUUCUUCUCCGGCAGGGCUGUUUUUCAGAAGUUUCAGUGGGAGUCCGAGCUGUGGUUGCUGUGUUGAGCUUGGGACCGCCUUGGAUCAUCGUGGUAGAGGUCCCGGAGCGUCACCUCCGUCGUCGCCGCCGCGUCGGUGUUUCCGGCCCGCUUAACGGGUCCCUAGUGUGAAGAGCCAGGAGCUUGAAGUGGAAGGGUCAGGAGCAUAGGUGGCUCAGUAAUUCUUUAUGACAUAGACCUUCUGUAUAAGCUUGAAGUGUUUAUAAAAGUGUAUUUGAUUUGAAA
Eucalyptus grandis is the source of this 617-nucleotide long non-coding RNA. RefSeq lists it as uncharacterized. The record is from RefSeq and is a predicted model, not a curated record. Lineage: Eukaryota; Viridiplantae; Streptophyta; Magnoliopsida; Myrtales; Myrtaceae. The transcript has 2 exons.